UGAGGAAUUUUGCGCAAUGGGGGAAACCCUGACGCAGCAACGCCGCGUGAGUGAUGAAGGCUUUCGGGUCGUAAAGCUCUGUCAAGUGGGAAGAAGUUGUGUAUGGCUAAUAUCUGUGCACAUUGACGGUACCACUGAAGGAAGCACCGGCUAACUCCGUGCCAGCAGCCGCGGUAAUACGGAGGGUGCAAGCGUUAUUCGGAUUUACUGGGCGUAAAGGGCGCGUAGGCGGCUUGAUAAGUCAGUCGUGAAAGCCCGGGGCUCAACCCCGGAAGUGCGAUUGAAACUAUCAGGCUUGAGUAUGGUAGAGGGAAGUGGAAUUCCAGGUGUAGCGGUGAAAUGCGUAGAUAUCUGGAGGAACACCGGUGGCGAAGGCGACUUCCUGGACCAAUACUGACGCUGAUGCGCGAAGGUGUGGGUAGCAAACAGG
RNAcentral lists this ribosomal RNA (430 nucleotides) under uncultured Desulfobacteraceae bacterium. Its description in RNAcentral is "bacterial SSU rRNA". It matches the Rfam family "Bacterial small subunit ribosomal RNA", at positions 355 to 776 of the family's 1533-position model. The record is from RNAcentral. Lineage: Bacteria; Pseudomonadati; Thermodesulfobacteriota; Desulfobacteria; Desulfobacterales; Desulfobacteraceae.